Molecule: long non-coding RNA, 538 nt
Filed under: Phoenix dactylifera (date palm)
Lineage: Eukaryota; Viridiplantae; Streptophyta; Magnoliopsida; Arecales; Arecaceae
Description: long non-coding RNA (PDAC_LNC022223)
Source: RNAcentral
CAGUUGGAUUGUUUUCCGGGCUCACAAUCCAAAAAUCUUUACACUUUAGUUUUUCGGGUUCACCAAAAACCUAUGUUGGUUUUACGGGCUCACCAACGAACCUUUACAAUUGGUUUUCCGGGUUCACCAAUCAACCUAUUCCGUUGGUUUUGCGGAUUAACCAACCAACCUUUACAAGUAGUUUAAUAAACAAAGGAAGAUGAUUUAAACUCCUAGAUGAGCAAAUAUAAUAAUAUAAUCUACAAAGAAGAGUUUAGAGAAUAGUUAUCGCUUGAUAUGACUUCUCUCUUCUUUGUCAAGGAUGCUUCACUCUUCACAGGUGGAUGGAGCUCUUAAUGACUCUUUGAAUCUGCUCAACCACUUUCUUUUGACUCUUGAAUGAAGCACUUGGAUGAAGAAGAUUAGGGCACUUUGUCUUUCUUGUGUACUCUUUGAUAUUCUUGCAAAAAAGAUGUUCUCUCUAAUAAACAGUACCACUUUAAAUAGUUUUCUUCAUCCAUUGGACAAGCCCCAAUGGUUAGAAUUCAAAAACUAGCCA